RNAcentral lists this transfer RNA (88 nucleotides) under Ganoderma leucocontextum. Its description in RNAcentral is "tRNA-Phe". It matches the Rfam family "tRNA". Rfam says of the family: Transfer RNA (tRNA) molecules are approximately 80 nucleotides in length. Their secondary structure includes four short double-helical elements and three loops (D, anti-codon, and T loops). Lineage: Eukaryota; Fungi; Basidiomycota; Agaricomycetes; Polyporales; Polyporaceae. The record is from RNAcentral.
GCCGGGAUAGCUCAGCUGGGAGAGCAACAGACUGAAGUUGUGUGACUAGGGCUUCUGGAGGUCGCGUGUUCAAUCCACGCUCCUGGCA